RNAcentral lists this ribosomal RNA (253 nucleotides) under uncultured bacterium. Its description in RNAcentral is "partial 16S ribosomal RNA". It matches the Rfam family "Bacterial small subunit ribosomal RNA", at positions 524 to 776 of the family's 1533-position model. The record is from RNAcentral.
UACGAAGGGGGCUAGCGUUGCUCGGAAUUACUGGGCGUAAAGCGCACGUAGGCGGGGCUUUAAGUCAGGGGUGAAAUCCUGGAGCUCAACUCCAGAACUGCCUUUGAUACUGAAGAUCUUGAGUUCGGGAGAGGUGAGUGGAACUGCGAGUGUAGAGGUGAAAUUCGUAGAUAUUCGCAAGAACACCAGUGGCGAAGGCGGCUCACUGGCCCGAUACUGACGCUGAUGCACGAAAGCGUGGGGAGCAAACAGG